This 441-nucleotide ribosomal RNA is filed under the name uncultured bacterium. Its description in RNAcentral is "partial 16S ribosomal RNA". It matches the Rfam family "Bacterial small subunit ribosomal RNA", at positions 339 to 795 of the family's 1533-position model. The record is from RNAcentral.
CUACGGGUGGCAGCAGUGGGGAAUAUUGGACAAUGGACCAAAAGUCUGAUCCAGCAAUUCUGUGUGUUUGAUGAAGGCCUUCGGGUUGUAAAGAACUUUAAGUAGGGAAGAAGAAAGUGACGGUACCUACAGAAUAAGCGACGGCUAAAUACGUGCCAGCAGCCGCGGUAAUACGUAUGUCGCAAGCGUUAUCCGGAAUUAUUGGGCAUAAAGCGCGUCUAGGCGGUUUACUAAGUCUGAUGUGAAAAUGCGGGGCUCAACUCCGUAUUGCGUUGGAAACUGGUAGACUAGAGUAUUGAGAGGUAGGCGGAACUACAAGUGUAGAGGUGAAAUUCGUAGAUAUUUGUAGGAAUGCCAAUGACGAAGGUAGCUUACUGGACAAAUACUGACGCUGAAGCGCGAAAGCUAGGGGAGCAAACAGGAUUAGAUACCCUCGUAGUC